UACGAAGGGGGCUAGCGUUGCUCGGAAUCACUGGGCGUAAAGCGCACGUAGGCGGCUUUUUAAGUCAGGGGUGAAAUCCUGGAGCUCAACUCCAGAACUGCCCUUGAUACUGAGAAGCUUGAGUCCGGGAGAGGUGAGUGGAACUGCGAGUGUAGAGGUGAAAUUCGUAGAUAUUCGCAAGAACACCAGUGGCGAAGGCGGCUCACUGGCCCGGUACCGACGCUGAGGCACGAAAGCGUGGGGAGCAAACAGG
This 253-nucleotide ribosomal RNA is filed under the name uncultured bacterium. RNAcentral's name for it is "partial 16S ribosomal RNA". It matches the Rfam family "Bacterial small subunit ribosomal RNA", at positions 524 to 776 of the family's 1533-position model. The record is from RNAcentral.